Daphnia pulicaria is the source of this 1006-nucleotide long non-coding RNA. RefSeq lists it as uncharacterized. NCBI's taxonomy places the organism in Eukaryota, Metazoa, Arthropoda, Branchiopoda, Diplostraca, Daphniidae. The record is from RefSeq and is a predicted model, not a curated record. The transcript has 4 exons.
CAGACAAUACAAAUGCAGUCAUACUUGCUCAUUUUGUUUCUAAUGAUAGGGCAGGGCAGGCAAGAAAUGGUUUCGGUAAACUCCAAUAGGAUUCUCCGGCUGAUCACGAACUCAUUCAUGGGCGACUACAGAUAAAGCGAGAAAAGUCAAGCUAUUGGAUUUCGGAUUCGGCCCACAAUUACCUCGUUUAUUUGGCCCUCCCUUGAUGGUUGUGCUGCCAUUGAUUUUCACUGGUGUUUUUCAAGGAUCGCCCAUGAGUGAUGAAGACAUCGUUCCGAUCAACAUCUGGUCAUGCAGAUGCGGUUUCUUUAUAUUUUCCGCCAGAAGCCAAUCUUUAAGCUGCCAGUACCAAUGGGAUUGAUUCUUCCAAAAUGUCGAAUUCGGUUUUAACAGUGCCAUAUGCACGACCUGAAAUCAGCCGCCGAUGCAAUGCUCUUAUCAGAAUUGUUCUUAAAGCCCCAGCUAGAACGGAGAUCCUGGAAUUCAUUUGAUCAUGACAGGAGAGUGACUGCCACUUGGAAUCUGCAGCAUUAGUAUUUUCGCUACGAAGGACAUCUACAAGAUAUGGAGCAGUCUACUGCAAACGUUUUAUAAUCACCAAGCCCAAGAAGUGAUGACGACGGAAUUGGAAUUAGCAGAGCAAGAGGCCGACGAUUUUACGGCCUAUCAACAAGCUAAAAGACGGGCAAGAUAAAUGGAGAAACAGGUAAGGAAUAACGAGAAAGUCGGGAAACUCAGUUAAAUGCAACUCAAACUUAAUUAGACCUUGUGUCACAGUAGGAUUUUUGGGACUUAAGCUUCCCAAUAAAAAAAGAAUAAUUACCAAAAUGUCACAUUUGAUUUAAAUUUUACUGUAGAACUAGGAACCAUACUGAUAUUAAGUAUAGCGUACACGUAACGUUAGAACAUUAUAGGUAGUCCAGAAACGUCUUGAGCAUUGAUGGACCUCUUGGAAAUUUUUAAUUUGACUCACAUCGUGAAAGUAACCUACUGUACCUAGUUGAUU